RNAcentral lists this ribosomal RNA (253 nucleotides) under uncultured bacterium. RNAcentral's name for it is "partial 16S ribosomal RNA". It matches the Rfam family "Bacterial small subunit ribosomal RNA", at positions 524 to 776 of the family's 1533-position model. The record is from RNAcentral.
UACGAAGGGGGCUAGCGUUGCUCGGAAUCACUGGGCGUAAAGCGCACGUAGGCGGAUUGUUAAGUCGGGGGUGAAAUCCUGGAGCUCAACUCCAGAACUGCCUUCGAUACUGAAGAGCUUGAGUCCGGGAGAGGUGAGUGGAACUGCGAGUGUAGAGGUGAAAUUCGUAGAUAUUCGCAAGAACACCAGUGGCGAAGGCGGCUCACUGGCCCGGUACUGACGCUGAGGUGCGAAAGCGUGGGGAGCAAACGGG